CCUUCGAUAGCUCAGUUGAUAGAGCGGUGGAUUGUAGAUCCAUAGGUUGCUGGUUCAAAUCCGGCUCGAAGGA
This 73-nucleotide transfer RNA is filed under the name Atta cephalotes. Its description in RNAcentral is "tRNA LOC105616950-6". It matches the Rfam family "tRNA". From Rfam's summary of the family: Transfer RNA (tRNA) molecules are approximately 80 nucleotides in length. Their secondary structure includes four short double-helical elements and three loops (D, anti-codon, and T loops). Lineage: Eukaryota; Metazoa; Arthropoda; Insecta; Hymenoptera; Formicidae. The record is from RNAcentral.